AUGGAGCUGUCUAACAAAAGCAGGUACUACCACAUCUUAGGCUUCAAAAAUUUAAGAUACAUAUGGACGUGGGAGUCCACUGAUAUACUUUAUGGUUUGAAGAUGACAUGUAUGCAAUGUGUGGUCUGCACUGAUGAGACGUUGGAGGGGCAAAAUUUUGAUGUCAAGCCUCACAUAUCUGAUCAACUGGGCACCAAUAUUGAUGGCAAGUCAAUUGCAGAGGACAUAAAGUUACAGAUUGCUGAACAAUUUCGUCGAAUGAAAAAGGCAGUUGCACAUGUUCCUGGAUUAGCUAUUGUAUUGAACUGCACAAAAGACGAGGUGGUGGAUUCAGCAUCAAGAUUAAGUGGAGACCUAUCUGUUCAUCGCAUCCUUGUGCCGCUACCACUACCACAAGGGGGCGAUGAGCCCGGGCUCAGAAAUGGAUAUUUGGAUGCACGUCCCCAUCGAGUCCGCUCCAUGCCAGCGCCUGCCAAGCGAGACUCGUCAAAAACAAAUGCUCGCGUGACAUGGACAGCCAACAUUCGUGCAUCCUAG
Molecule: ribosomal RNA, 537 nt
Filed under: Triticum aestivum (bread wheat)
Lineage: Eukaryota; Viridiplantae; Streptophyta; Magnoliopsida; Poales; Poaceae
Description: partial small subunit ribosomal RNA
Source: RNAcentral